AUAAAGUGAACAAUAAUAAUAUAGUGAACAAUUGAUCUUUGUCAUUAAUUUAGGCACAAAAAUAGUAUAUAACAUUAUUUUCUUUACUAUUAUUACUAGAAUUAUUAUUAUAUAUAUUUUUUUAUUAUUAUUAGUCAAAGUCACAAGGUAGGCUUUAUUAGUCAAAUAUACUGCAUACAAAUGAAAUACAUUAUGAUUAUUACUAUUAUUAUCAUCAUCAUUAUUAUUUUGGUUGGUGUUGUUAAUAAACAGACCGCCAUAUCAUUAUUAUUCUGAUGUUCUUUUCAAUUUGCGUGCAAUUUGGAAUUGACGCGCGUGCUCUGUCGCCAUGGAAACGGCGACCGGGCAACGCCGCCCGAAAGUGAGUGAGGCAAUGUUUGCUCCGGAAGAAAAAGGAAAAAUAACAAAAACCCGCACCGUUUCCUUCGUUUCUCAGCACAAUGGAAUGCUAUAAAAGUGUUUAUUCCAAAACACAAGAAAGUGUGUUUUUCGAAUACUUAAACUAAAAGAAGGAGGGAUUAUCCUAACCUAACUUCAACUUGGUGAGUAAACAAAGAUGUUGCCACGUCUUUCUAAAUAGUGUAAGAUGCAUCAGAACUUUGUUCAUACUCUUCUUCUUCUUUUUUUCCUGGAUUGAUAUAUUUUUAAGCUCAGUUGGUUCUGCAACAUCAUGACCGUCCCAGAGGAUAGAAACUUUAAAUUGAUCCAAUCAGCCAAGAUCACCGAGAAAAAAAAGAAGAGAAAAGGAAAGAAAAAACAGAAACAAGGGAUUAAAGGAUCGUCCUCAACUAUUCCAGAAAAUAAAGAUAAACGAUUGUCCUCUGAGAUCUCGCCGCUCCUGUGUCCUCAGGAACAAACGCAGAUCCAAGAGCAGCUUCCCAAGCCCAAAGCGAGCAAAAAGAAAAAUGCCAAACCGGGCUCUGGCCGCAGCCAGAAAAGCAAAACACAUCAAAAAGAUUCACAGGCUAUGGUUGAAUUGACUGAUGACACCAGCAGCAGCAGAGCCAUGGCGCAUGAGACUGGGCUUGGUAGGCAGGCUAGAGAGAGUCUGAGGUGGGAAGGAGUUCUACAAGACCCCCAAGAGGAGGCCGAGAGGCUGGAGCAGUACAGAGCCAACAGGCGGCAGCGUUACAUCGCACACAGAGAGGCUCUAUUAAAAAACACCCAGCAAGCCUCAAGAGAAGCUUUAAUUUAA
This 1195-nucleotide long non-coding RNA is filed under the name Oryzias sinensis (Chinese medaka). RNAcentral describes it as "lncRNA (ENSOSIG00000006763.1)". The record is from RNAcentral. Lineage: Eukaryota; Metazoa; Chordata; Actinopteri; Beloniformes; Adrianichthyidae.